UGCCAGCAGCCGCGGUAAUACGGAGGGUGCAAGCGUUAAUCGGAAUUACUGGGCGUAAAGAGCAUGUAGGCGGACUGUUAAGUCUGGCGUGAAAGCCCGGGGCUCAACCUCGGAAUAGCGCUUGAUACUGAACUGCUUGAGACCGGAAGAGGGUAGUGGAAUUCCCAGUGUAGAGGUGAAAUUCGUAGAUAUUGGGAAGAACACCAGUGGCGAAGGCGGCUACCUGGUCCGGAUCUGACGCUGAGGCGCGAAAGCGUGGGGAGCAAACAGGAUUAGAUA
RNAcentral lists this ribosomal RNA (279 nucleotides) under uncultured bacterium. Its description in RNAcentral is "partial 16S ribosomal RNA". It matches the Rfam family "Bacterial small subunit ribosomal RNA", at positions 506 to 784 of the family's 1533-position model. The record is from RNAcentral.